GACCUCAAAUCAGGUAGGGCUACCCGCUGAACUUAAGCAUAUCAAUAAGCGGAGGAAAAGAAACUAACAAGGAUUCCCCUAGUAGCGGCGAGCGAACCGGGACGAGCUCAAAUUUGAAAUCUGGCGCCCUCCGGGCGCCCGAGUUGUAAUCUACAGAAGCGUCUUCCGCGCCGGACCGUGUCCAAGUCCCUUGGAACAGGGUAUCAAAGAGGGUGACAAUCCCGUGCUUGACACGACGACCGGUGCUCUGUGAUGCGCUCUCCACGAGUCGAGUUGUUUGGGAAUGCAGCUCAAAACGGGUGGUAAAUUCCAUCUAAAGCUAAAUAUUGGCAAGAGACCGAUAGCGAACAAGUACCGUGAGGGAAAGAUGAAAAGCAC
RNAcentral lists this ribosomal RNA (378 nucleotides) under Biatoropsis hafellneri. RNAcentral's name for it is "partial large subunit ribosomal RNA". It matches the Rfam family "Eukaryotic large subunit ribosomal RNA", at positions 1 to 374 of the family's 3401-position model. Lineage: Eukaryota; Fungi; Basidiomycota; Tremellomycetes; Tremellales; Tremellaceae. The record is from RNAcentral.